AGGCAAAUGGGCCUUAAUCCGGGACAAGCUCUCGGAGCUCCGGGCCCAGCUCGUCGACUUUGCCGACCUCCCAACCUCCACCUCCCACCCCCUCUCCCUCCACCUCCUCCUCUCCGUCUCUCAAACCCUCAGCGACGCCGUUUCGCUCUCCCUCAAAUGCCAGACAGCCAAUCUCUCCGCCGGCAAGCUCCGCACCCAGAGCGACGUCGACUCGAUCCUGGCCCGCCUCGACCGCCACGUCGCCGACGC
RNAcentral lists this long non-coding RNA (249 nucleotides) under Malus domestica (apple). Its description in RNAcentral is "long non-coding RNA (MDOM_LNC006228)". The record is from RNAcentral. Lineage: Eukaryota; Viridiplantae; Streptophyta; Magnoliopsida; Rosales; Rosaceae.